RNAcentral lists this ribosomal RNA (475 nucleotides) under Neomardara africana. RNAcentral describes it as "partial large subunit ribosomal RNA". Lineage: Eukaryota; Metazoa; Arthropoda; Insecta; Lepidoptera; Erebidae. The record is from RNAcentral.
UGCCCACUGAUAAUUAAUUAAAGGGCUGCAGUAAUUUGACUGUACAAAGGUAGCAUAAUCAUUAGUCAUUUAAUUGAUGACUUGUAUGAAGGAUUGGAUGAAAUAUAAACUGUCUUUAAUUUAUUUUAUAUAAUUUAAUUUUUUUAUUAAAAAGUUAAAAUAUUUAAAAAAGACGAGAAGACCCUAUAGAGUUUGAUUUUAAAAUUAAUUUAUUAUUAUUUUUAAAUAAAAUGAGUUAGUUAUUAAUUUAAAUUAAUUUUAAAAUUUUGUUGGGGUGAUAAAAAAAUUAAAUAAACUUUUUUUAAUUAAAAACAUAAAUAAGUGAUAAAUUGAUCCAAUAUAAUAUUGAUUGUAAGAAAAAAUUACCUUAGGGAUAACAGCGUAAUUUUUUUUUUUAGUUCACAUAAGAAAAAAAGUUUGCGACCUCGAUGUUGGAUUAAGAUAAAAUUUAAAUGUAGAAGUUUAAAGUUUUUGA